AUUGAACGCUGGCGGAAUGCUUUACACAUGCAAGUCGAACGGCAGCACGGGGGCAACCCUGGUGGCGAGUGGCGAACGGGUGAGUAAUACAUCGGAACGUGCCCAAUCGUGGGGGAUAACGUAGCGAAAGCUACGCUAAUACCGCAUACGAUCUACGGAUGAAAGCGGGGGAUCGCAAGACCUCGCGCGAAUGGAGCGGCCGAUGGCAGAUUAGGUAGUUGGUGGGGUAAAGGCUCACCAAGCCGACGAUCUGUAGCUGGUCUGAGAGGACGACCAGCCACACUGGGACUGAGACACGGCCCAGACUCCUACGGGAGGCAGCAGUGGGGAAUUUUGGGACAAUGGGCGCAAGCCUGAUCCAGCCAUUCCGCGUGAGUGAAGAAGGCCUCGGUUGUAAG
RNAcentral lists this ribosomal RNA (398 nucleotides) under uncultured bacterium. RNAcentral describes it as "bacterial SSU rRNA". It matches the Rfam family "Bacterial small subunit ribosomal RNA", at positions 29 to 429 of the family's 1533-position model. The record is from RNAcentral.